GGCAGUUCUCGGGUGACGCAUCCCAGAAUCGGGCUCCCUCUUCUUGGUUCCAGGUGCAUCACCAGAGAACUGCA
Non-coding RNA from Myotis davidii, 74 nucleotides. The record is from Rfam. Lineage: Eukaryota; Metazoa; Chordata; Mammalia; Chiroptera; Vespertilionidae.